Molecule: ribosomal RNA, 377 nt
Filed under: uncultured bacterium
Lineage: Bacteria
Description: bacterial SSU rRNA
Rfam family: Bacterial small subunit ribosomal RNA
Source: RNAcentral
UAAUACAGAGGGUGCGAGCGUUAAUCGGAAUUACUGGGCGUAAAGGGUGCGUAGGUGGUCAAUUAAGUCAGAUGUGAAAUCCCUGGGCUUAACCUAGGAAUUGCAUAUGAUACUGGUUGACUAGAGUGCGGGAGAGGGAAGUGGAAUUUCCGGUGUAGCGGUGAAAUGCGUAGAUAUCGGAAGGAACAUCAGUGGCGAAGGCGACUUCCUGGCCCGUUACUAACACUGAGGCACGAAAGCGUGGGGAGCAAACAGGAUUAGAUACCCUGGUAGUCCACGCCGUAAACGAUGAGAACUAGAUGUUAGGGGACUUCGGUCUUUUAGUAUCGCAGCUAACGCGAUAAGUUCUCCGCCUGGGGAGUACGGCCGCAAGGUUA